AGAAUAUAGAAAUAACCAUAGAGACCAAAUAUCAUUCACGCCUACCAAUAGCUGGGUGCUACCCCAAAGACAUAAAAGUGUCGCUCUCCUGAAAGGAGAGAAUAGUUCUCUUGGGAUCAGCUAAGAAAACAAAAUGUAAUGAAUAAACAAAACUUAAAAGAUAAAAUAAGCUUAAAAACAGCUAAAGUAAAAAAACCAGUAAAAAGGUAAACAAUAAAAUGUAAGAAUAAUUAUAGCAAACUCAUACAAAAAUAGGGAGCACUUGAGCAAAACACCAACACUCAAACAAAAAUGAAUAGCAUAAGUAUAAAAUUUGACAAGCAAUAAAACUCAAAAGAAAAAUUUAAUAAAGGAACUCGGCAAAAGAGUAGAGCAAAGACUGUUUAACAAAAACAUAGCUUCUAGAAAUAAUUAGAAGUAAAAUCCUGCCCGGUGAAAGCAAUUUUAAACGGCCACAAUCGUGCUAAGGUAGCGUAAUCAGUUGUCCUUUUACUGAGGACUAGUAUGAAAGGAAAAACGAGGCUCAACUGUCUCUAUUAAAAAAAUAAAAAUUAGUUUUUAGAUGAAAAAAUCUAAAUGAAAUUAAAGGACGAAAAGACCCUAUAGAGUUUAAAUAUAAUUAUACUAUUCACAAAUUAAACAAAACGAAUAGGAUAAGUAUUUUAAUUGGGGCAACAUAGGAACAGAAAUUUCCCUUAUAGUAAACAUUUAACAUCAUAAAAUAAAAAUCCUCAAGAGAUAAGAAAACUACUAGGGAUAACAGCGUAUUUUCUAAAGAGACCUAUCGAAAGAAAAGUUUGCGA
This 803-nucleotide ribosomal RNA is filed under the name Amathia vidovici. RNAcentral describes it as "partial 16S ribosomal RNA". The stretch from base 343 to 541 matches the Rfam family "Bacterial large subunit ribosomal RNA", at positions 1700 to 2029 of the family's 2925-position model. The record is from RNAcentral. Lineage: Eukaryota; Metazoa; Bryozoa; Gymnolaemata; Ctenostomatida; Vesiculariidae.